UGGGGAAUAUUGGACAAUGGGCGCAAGCCUGAUCCAGCCAUACCGCGUGGGUGAAGAAGGCCUUCGGGUUGUAAAGCCCUUUUGUUGGGAAAGAAAAGCAGCCGGUUAAUACCCGGUUGUUCUGACGGUACCCAAAGAAUAAGCACCGGCUAACUUCGUGCCAGCAGCCGCGGUAAUACGAAGGGUGCAAGCGUUACUCGGAAUUACUGGGCGUAAAGCGUGCGUAGGUGGUUGUUUAAGUCUGUUGUGAAAGCCCUGGGCUCAACCUGGGAAUUGCAGUGGAUACUGGGCGACUAGAGUGUGGUAGAGGGUAGUGGAAUUCCUGGUGUAGCAGUGAAAUGCGUAGAGAUCAGGAGGAACAUCCAUGGCGAAGGCAGCUACCUGGACCAACACUGACACUGAGGCACGAAAGCGUGGGGAGCAAACAGG
This 429-nucleotide ribosomal RNA is filed under the name Caulobacter vibrioides. Its description in RNAcentral is "partial 16S ribosomal RNA". It matches the Rfam family "Bacterial small subunit ribosomal RNA", at positions 355 to 776 of the family's 1533-position model. Lineage: Bacteria; Pseudomonadati; Pseudomonadota; Alphaproteobacteria; Caulobacterales; Caulobacteraceae. The record is from RNAcentral. RNAcentral also lists the same sequence under 3 other names.